Molecule: non-coding RNA, 22 nt
Filed under: Arabidopsis thaliana (thale cress)
Lineage: Eukaryota; Viridiplantae; Streptophyta; Magnoliopsida; Brassicales; Brassicaceae
Source: RNAcentral
UUGAAGCGUACUAUGGGCCAUG